AAUCAACGCUGGCGGCGUGCCUAAUACAUGCAAGUCGAACGCGAAAGUCCCGCAAGGGAUGAGUAGAGUGGCAAACGGGUGAGUAACGCGUGGGUGACCUGCCUUCGAGUGGGGGAUAACGUUUCGAAAGGAACGCUAAUACCGCAUGACAUCCUGUCUUUUAACAGGCGGAGAUCAAAGCUGGGGAUCGCAAGACCUGGCGCUUGAAGAGGGGCCCGCGUCCGAUUAGCAGUUGGUGGGGUAAUGGCUCACCAAGGCAUCGAUCGGUAGCCGGCCUGAGAGGGCGGACGGCCACACUGGGACUGAGACACGGCCCAGACUCCUACGGGAGGCAGCAGUAGGGAAUUGUUCGCAAUGGGCNCAAGCCUGACGACGCAACGCCGCGUGGAGGAUGAAGA
This 398-nucleotide ribosomal RNA is filed under the name uncultured bacterium. RNAcentral describes it as "bacterial SSU rRNA". It matches the Rfam family "Bacterial small subunit ribosomal RNA", at positions 32 to 414 of the family's 1533-position model. The record is from RNAcentral.